CCUACGGGAGGCAGCAGUGAGGAAUAUUGGUCAAUGGGCGCGAGCCUGAACCAGCCAAGUCGCGUGAGGGAAGACGGUCCUAUGGAUUGUAAACCUCUUUUGUCGGGGAGCAAAAGACGCCACGCGUGGCGUUCCGAGAGUACCCGAAGAAAAAGCAUCGGCUAACUCCGUGCCAGCAGCCGCGGUAAUACGGAGGAUGCGAGCGUUAUCCGGAUUUAUGGGGUUUAAAGGGUGCGCAGGCGGACGAUCAAGUCAGCGGUAAAAUUGAGAGGCUCAACCUCUUCGAGCCGUUGAAACUGGUUUUCUUGAGUUAGUUAGAAGUAUGCGGAAUGCGUGGUGUAGCGGUGAAAUGCAUAGAUAUCGCGCAGAACUCCGAUUGCGAAGGCAGCAUACCGGCGCUCAACUGACGCUCAUGCACGAAAGUGUGGGUAUCGAACAGGAUUAGAUACCCGUGUAGUC
This 459-nucleotide ribosomal RNA is filed under the name uncultured bacterium. RNAcentral's name for it is "partial 16S ribosomal RNA". It matches the Rfam family "Bacterial small subunit ribosomal RNA", at positions 338 to 795 of the family's 1533-position model. The record is from RNAcentral.